UACGAAGGGGGCUAGCGUUGCUCGGAAUCACUUGGGCGUAAAGCGCACGUAGGCGGACUCUUAAGUCGGUGGUGAAAUCCUGGAGCUCAACUCCAGAACUGCCUUUGAUACUGGAGAGCUUGAGUCCGGGAGAGGUGAGUGGAACUCCGAGUGUAGAGGUGAAAUUCGUAGAUAUUCGGAAGAACACCGGUGGCGAAGGCGGCAUCCUGGACCGACAGUUGACGCUGAGGCGCGAAAGCCAGGGGAGCAAACGGG
This 255-nucleotide ribosomal RNA is filed under the name uncultured bacterium. Its description in RNAcentral is "partial 16S ribosomal RNA". It matches the Rfam family "Bacterial small subunit ribosomal RNA", at positions 524 to 776 of the family's 1533-position model. The record is from RNAcentral.